Molecule: ribosomal RNA, 887 nt
Filed under: uncultured bacterium
Lineage: Bacteria
Description: bacterial SSU rRNA
Rfam family: Bacterial small subunit ribosomal RNA
Source: RNAcentral
GGGGGCACCCUGGCGGCGAGCGGCGAACGGGUGAGUAAUACAUCGGAACGUACCCAGGAGUGGGGGAUAACACAUCGAAAGAUGUGCUAAUACCGCAUACGCCCUGAGGGGGAAAGCGGGGGAUCGCAAGACCUCGCGCUGUUGGAGCGGCCGAUGUCGGAUUAGCUAGUUGGUAGGGUAAAGGCCUACCAAGGCGACGAUCCGUAGCUGGUCUGAGAGGGUGAUCAGCCACACUGGGACUGAGACACGGCCCAGACUCCUACGGGAGGCAGCAGUGGGGAAUUUUGGACAAUGGGGGCAACCCUGAUCCAGCCAUUCCGCGUGAGUGAAGAAGGCCUUCGGGUUGUAAAGCUCUUUCGGCAGGAACGAAACGGCGGGCUCUAACAUGGCCUGUCAAUGACGGUACCUGAAGAAGAAGCACCGGCUAACUACGUGCCAGCAGCCGCGGUAAUACGUAGGGUGCGAGCGUUAAUCGGAAUUACUGGGCGUAAAGCGUGCGCAGGCGGUUUUGUAAGACAGCUGUGAAAUCCCCGGGCUUAACCUGGGAACUGCGGUUGUGACUGCAAGACUAGAGUGCGGCAGAGGGGGGUGGAAUUCCACGUGUAGCAGUGAAAUGCGUAGAGAUGUGGAGGAACACCGAUGGCGAAGGCAGCCCCCUGGGUUGACACUGACGCUCAUGCACGAAAGCGUGGGUAGCAAACAGGAUUAGAUACCCUGGUAGUCCACGCCCUAAACGAUGCCAACUAGGUGUUGGGGAAGGAGACUUCCUUAGUACCGUAGCUAACGCGUGAAGUUGGCCGCCUGGGGAGUACGGUCGCAAGAUUAAAACUCAAAGGAAUUGACGGGGACCCGCACAAGCGGUGGAUGAAUGUGGAUUAAUUCGAUGC